CAGGCGUAUAACACACACUAUUCUUAUAUGCUGCUUGUUCUGGAGGAGUGUGUCUCCGGAGAAAGAAGAGAUUUCGUGCAGCUGUACCUAUAAAAGCGGAAAAGAAACCAAUAACAUUUAUAGAGACUUUAUCUAGAAGUGUAAGGGACCCCAAACAAUAAGAGAAGAAUCAGAGAACUUCAAGCAGGAGCAGCAACGAACGGGAAGAAACAAGUCAUUGUGGUGAUUGAUAAUGUGAAGGACAGCAGCAAAAAGGCAAAGAAAGAAAGAAUGAAAGAGAUCAGCCAUAACGGUCUUAAAACUUUGCUCUUGUUCAGUAAUAGAGAUAGAAGUUCAAUCAAUGAUGGCAGAUCUGAAAAUUAAGUGGAAAUUAACCUGAAGUGUAUAAAAAAAGUCUUGAAAAAUCAAAAAGCCACAAAAUCACCACCAGGGAAGCUCCUAAAUAUAAAAAAAACAUUUGACAGUUGCAAUUUGCUCCAGAGAAUCCACUGAAAACUAUGAAUGGAUAAUAAACCUUCUACAAACAGAAGAAUUCAACAGUCUAGUGAAAGAACCCCAGUCUAUAAACAUCUCAAACAAUUUCUCCCAAUUCCUAAAUGACGUCUCUGGUUAUACAUUUGCCAUCCUGUAUCACUCCAAGAGAAGAGGGAGAUUAAACAUCACCGACGUGACAGACUCACUCUAUGAUAAAGAACUGGAAUACCUGUAUGGAAUUUUGGGAAAAGACAAAGUAAUUGUGGUUAUUGAUGAUCUGGUCGACUCCAGUGAGUCAGAGAAGAACAGAAUCCUACAGAGCCAGAAGAGCAUUGGCCAGUGGGCGAGUGACCUGUUCCUCUUUAGUGUCAGUGAUAAAGACUCCAUCAAAUCUCAAUCCCAAGAUAAAGAUGUGGAGGAAAAGAGGAAAAAACUGUAUAAUAUUCUAAGUCAAGCCACAAAAUCCAAGCUAAGGCCAAGGCAGCCUGAAUAAACAUGUGUUCAAAUGGACUUCUAUGACUUAUCAUAAGGAUCACGUAUGUUUGGAUACAUUUUAUGAACUAUUGGUACUGUAAUUUAUAUAGAAAUCGAUGAUGUAUAGCUUGAUAAAAGACAAUGUUAGUUGAAUCACUGCUGUAAUGCUUUAUAAAAUACAAUAAAGACAUUUUAA
This is a long non-coding RNA of Xenopus laevis (African clawed frog), 1144 nucleotides long. RefSeq lists it as uncharacterized. NCBI's taxonomy places the organism in Eukaryota, Metazoa, Chordata, Amphibia, Anura, Pipidae. The transcript is spliced from 7 exons. The record is from RefSeq and is a predicted model, not a curated record.